Molecule: ribosomal RNA, 468 nt
Filed under: uncultured bacterium
Lineage: Bacteria
Description: partial 16S ribosomal RNA
Rfam family: Bacterial small subunit ribosomal RNA
Source: RNAcentral
GACGAACGCUGGCGGCGUGCUUAACACAUGCAAGUCGAACGGAAAGGCCCUGCUUUUGUGGGGUGCUCGAGUGGCGAACGGGUGGGUAACACGUGAGUAACCUGCCCUUGACUUUGGGAUAACUUCAGGAAACUGGGGCUAAUACCGGAUAGGAGCUCCUGCUGCAUGGUGGGGGUUGGAAAGUUUCGGCGGUUGGGGAUGGACUCGCGGCUUAUCAGCUUGUUGGUGGGGUAGUGGCUUACCAAGGCUUUGACGGGUAGCCGGCCUGAGAGGGUGACCGGCCACAUUGGGACUGAGAUACAGCCCAGACUCCUACGGGAGGCAGCAGUGGGGAAUAUUGCACAAUGGGCGGAAGCCUGAUGCAGCAACGCCGCGUGCGGGAUGACGGCCUUCGGGUUGUAAACCGCUUUCGCCUGUGACGAAGAGUGAGUGACGGUAAUGGGUAAAGAAGCACCGGCUAACUACGUG